Drosophila innubila is the source of this 78-nucleotide small nucleolar RNA. RefSeq annotates it as small nucleolar RNA Me28S-Cm2645. Lineage: Eukaryota; Metazoa; Arthropoda; Insecta; Diptera; Drosophilidae. The transcript has a single exon. The record is from RefSeq and is a predicted model, not a curated record.
ACUUUAAUGAUGAUAAAUUUGAUAGGGACAUCUGAUGUCUAUGAUUGAUUUGUCCAAUUUGAUAGUAGACCUGAAUAA